Molecule: transfer RNA, 69 nt
Filed under: Lissodema cursor
Lineage: Eukaryota; Metazoa; Arthropoda; Insecta; Coleoptera; Salpingidae
Description: tRNA-Asn
Source: RNAcentral
UUAAUUAAAACCAAAAAGAGGUAUGUUACUGUUAAUAACAUUAUUGAAUUUUUUUAUAUUCUAAUUAAA